GACAGAGGGUGCAAACGUUGUUCGGAUUUACUGGGCGUAAAGCGUGUGUAGGCGGCUUGGCAAGUUGGAUGUGAAAGCCCACGGCUCAACCGUGGAAGCGCACCCAAAACUGCUUCGCUCGAGUCUCGGAGAGGAAGGUGGAAUGCUUGGUGUAGAGGUGAAAUUCGUAGAUAUCAAGCAGAACACCUGCGGCGAAGGCGGCCUUCUGGACGAUGACUGACGCUGAGACGCGAAAGCGUGGGGAGCAAACAGG
This 253-nucleotide ribosomal RNA is filed under the name uncultured bacterium. Its description in RNAcentral is "partial 16S ribosomal RNA". It matches the Rfam family "Bacterial small subunit ribosomal RNA", at positions 524 to 776 of the family's 1533-position model. The record is from RNAcentral.